Xenopus laevis (African clawed frog) is the source of this 703-nucleotide long non-coding RNA. RefSeq lists it as uncharacterized. NCBI's taxonomy places the organism in Eukaryota, Metazoa, Chordata, Amphibia, Anura, Pipidae. The transcript is spliced from 4 exons. The record is from RefSeq and is a predicted model, not a curated record.
UUGGCUGAGCGCAAGUCAAAGGAAGGUACAUAAGUACAGGAGAUGGUGAAACAUAAUUGAGAUGGGCUUGUGCUGUUCCCUCAGAUUGUGCUGCGAGAGAGGAGCGAGACCUGAUGUUUCAGCUGAAACUUCUGUGCCUCCGACACCAUUCCUACCUCUGGGACGUGGCAUCCAGAAAAGGAUGAUACAUUUGCUUGUGGUGAUAAAACUGGGAAUGUAUCCUUGGUAAAUCUGAAGAAUCCAAACUCUGCUCAAACUUCAGCUGUGCACUCCCAAAGCAUCACAGGGCUGGCAUACUCAUUUCACAUGUACCAUCUUUAUUUUGCUUUUUUUUCUGUCUGUGUUGUCAUUCUUUAAGUUGGAAUACAGGAUGAAAUGCACAGGGUCCAGCGUGAUAUGUAGGGGUACAAAGGGGUGCAGUGUGAUAUGCACAGGGGUGUGGGGUCAGUGUGACAUGUAUAGGGGUCCUGGGGAAUUCACAGUGUGAUGUACAGGGGUGCUUGUGAAUUCACAGUGUGACAUUUACAAGGAAGUAAACAAAAUAGGAGUGAGCUUAGCUAAGGACCAACUAGCAACCAGUUCUCUUCAUAUUAGGGAAAGGUAAAUAGAAAUAAUUGGUCCUCUAUAAAUGAUUUUAUUCACAAUAACGUUUUAAAAUAUGUUACCUUUUAUACUUUAUGUAUAUAUAUAUAUGUAUGUAUGU